Molecule: ribosomal RNA, 440 nt
Filed under: uncultured bacterium
Lineage: Bacteria
Description: partial 16S ribosomal RNA
Rfam family: Bacterial small subunit ribosomal RNA
Source: RNAcentral
CCUACGGGUGGCAGCAGUGGGGAAUAUUGCACAAUGGGGGAAACCCUGAUGCAGCGACGCCGCGUGAGUGAAGAAGGAAUUCGGUAUGUAAAGCUCUAUCAGCAGGGAAGAAAAUGACGGUACCUGAGUAAGAAGCCCCGGCUAACUACGUGCCAGCAGCCGCGGUAAUACGCAGGGGGCAGGCGUUAUCCGGAUUUACUGGGUGUAAAGGGAGCGUAGACGGCAGUGCAAGUCUGGAGUGAAAGGCGGGGGCUCAAACCCCGGACUGCUCUGGAAACUGUACGGCUGGAGUGCAGGAGAGGUAAGUGGAAUUCCUAGUGUAGCGGUGAAAUGCGUAGAUAUCAGGAAGAACACCAGUGGCGAAGGCAGCUUACCGGACUGUAACUGACGUUGAGGCUCGAAAGCGUGGGGAGCAAACAGGAUUAGAUACCCUAGUAGUC